This is a non-coding RNA of Mycena vulgaris, 90 nucleotides long. Lineage: Eukaryota; Fungi; Basidiomycota; Agaricomycetes; Agaricales; Mycenaceae. The record is from the annotation of a GenBank genome assembly.
GCCGCCGUGGAUCACGGUGGAUCGUCCUCGUCCUAUAAAGUGCUCUCUCAGCUUGCAGAGGAAGAGCGGGUUCGACUCCCACCGGUGGCA